Molecule: ribosomal RNA, 253 nt
Filed under: uncultured bacterium
Lineage: Bacteria
Description: partial 16S ribosomal RNA
Rfam family: Bacterial small subunit ribosomal RNA
Source: RNAcentral
UACAGGGGGGGCAAGCGUUGUUCGGAAUUACUGGGCGUAAAGGGCUCGUAGGCGGCCAACUAAGUCACACGUGAAAUCCCUCGGCUUAACCGGGGAACUGCGUCUGAUACUGGAUGGCUCGAGUUUGGGAGAGGGAUGCGGAAUUCCAGGUGUAGCGGUGAAAUGCGUAGAUAUCUGGAGGAACACCGGUGGCGAAGGCGGCAUCCUGGACCAACACUGACGCUGAGGAGCGAAAGCCAGGGGAGCAAACGGG